RNAcentral lists this non-coding RNA (27 nucleotides) under Mus musculus (house mouse). Lineage: Eukaryota; Metazoa; Chordata; Mammalia; Rodentia; Muridae. The record is from RNAcentral.
GUUGAAAAUGAUGUCUUUUGUCCACUG